RNAcentral lists this transfer RNA (73 nucleotides) under Agrilus planipennis (emerald ash borer). It matches the Rfam family "tRNA". From Rfam's summary of the family: Transfer RNA (tRNA) molecules are approximately 80 nucleotides in length. Their secondary structure includes four short double-helical elements and three loops (D, anti-codon, and T loops). Further hydrogen bonds mediate the characteristic L-shaped molecular structure. tRNAs have two regions of fundamental functional importance: the anti-codon, which is responsible for specific mRNA codon recognition, and the 3' end, to which the tRNAs corresponding amino acid is attached (by aminoacyl-tRNA synthetases). tRNAs cope with the degeneracy of the genetic code in two manners: having more than one tRNA (with a specific anti-codon) for a particular amino acid; and 'wobble' base-pairing, i.e. permitting non-standard base-pairing at the 3rd anti-codon position. Lineage: Eukaryota; Metazoa; Arthropoda; Insecta; Coleoptera; Buprestidae. The record is from Rfam by way of RNAcentral.
ACUCUCAUAACUUAGCGGUCAGAGCUUUGGUGCGUAAAGCCAAAGGUUCUGGGUUCGAUUCCCGGCGACGGUG